AUCUCUUUUACGCCCUAGGCCCACGAUCCCUGCAAUUAUUUCCCCUAAGAUUUCAUCCAAUUCACUAAAAUUUUCUUCACAAUUUCGUCUGAUUCACCAAAUAUUCUUCAUAUUCAUAGUGUUAUAUUACUAAUUCAUUUUCACUUCAUCAAAUUUUACGCUCGUUAUAAUUUUUAGGGUUUUUUCUUCAUUGGCGAUGAAUCCGAGAGGGGGAAGAUAUCCGCCGCCGGGAAUGGGAGGCGGUGGCGGAGGACGUGGCGGCGGAAACAUGUACCCUAACCCUAACGCAAACCCUAAUUUUCAACAAAGAAACCCUCAGCAGCAGUAUGUGCAGAGAAAUCCGAUGAAUCACCAGCAGCAGCACCAGCAGCAGCAUUAUCAGAACCAACAACAGAUAACACAGCAGCAGCAAUGGCUCAGAAGGAGCCAACAGUUGGCGGCGUCUGAUUCGUCGAUCGAUGAGGUUGAAAAAACUGUUCAAUCUGAAGCACUUGACCAGAGUUCACAAGACUGGAAGGCGAGGUUGAACAUCCCAGCACCUGAUACUCGAUACAGGACAGAGGAUGUGACAGCGACCAAGGGAAAUGAAUUUGAAGACUAUUUUCUUAAGCGUGAAUUGCUUAUGGGAAUUUAUGAGAAGGGUUUUGAGAGACCAUCUCCUAUCCAGGAAGAAAGUAUCCCAAUCGCUCUUACUGGGAGUGAUAUUUUGGCUAGGGCCAAAAAUGGAACUGGGAAAACUGCUGCUUUCUGCAUUCCGGCAUUGGAAAAAAUUGAUCAGGACGUCAACGCCAUUCAAGUUGUUAUCCUUGUUCCCACACGAGAAUUGGCUCUUCAAACAUCUCAAAUUUGUAAAGAACUUGGGAAGCACUUAAACAUUGAAGUCAUGGUUACCACUGGGGGUACCAGCUUGAAGGAUGAUAUAAUGCGACUCUAUCAACCAGUUCAUUUACUAGUGGGAACUCCUGGAAGAAUACUUGACCUUGCGAGAAAGGGAAUAUGUGUUUUGAAAGAUUGCUCCAUGCUUAUCAUGGAUGAGGCUGAUAAGCUUCUUUCUCCGGAGUUCCAACCUUCCAUUGUGCAGCUGAUUCGUUUCUUGCCAGCAAAUCGUCAAAUUUUAAUGUUCUCUGCUACAUUCCCUGUCACAGUCAAGGACUUCAAAGAUAGAUUUCUGCAGAAGCCAUAUGUUAUCAACCUUAUGGACGAACUUACUCUCAAGGGUAUAACACAAUUUUAUGCUUUUGUAGAAGAAAGGCAGAAGCUUCACUGCCUCAACACUUUAUUCUCAAAGCUUCAAAUCAACCAAUCAAUUAUCUUCUGUAACUCUGUAAACCGUGUGGAACUUCUCGCCAAGAAGAUCACAGAGCUAGGCUAUUCAUGCUUCUACAUCCAUGCAAAGAUGCUUCAAGAUCACAGGAACAGAGUGUUUCACGACUUCCGCAAUGGUGCCUGCAGGAACCUUGUUUGUACUGAUCUGUUUACUAGAGGGAUUGAUAUUCAAGCAGUCAAUGUUGUUAUAAAUUUUGAUUUCCCCAAGAAUUCAGAGACGUAUUUACACAGGGUUGGGCGCUCAGGGAGAUUUGGGCAUCUUGGUUUAGCUGUGAACCUGAUUACAUUUGAGGAUCGCUUCAAUCUGUAUCGAAUUGAACAAGAGCUAGGAACAGAGAUCAAGCAAAUUCCGCCGCACAUAGAUCAGGCUAUAUAUUGCCAGUGAUCAGUUGGCUGCAUGGUUGAUGGUGUACCAAUGGUGAGUCUUUUGUACAGAAAUCUCAAGUUGAAGGUAUGCGACUCCUGAGAGGCUGAUAGAAUGGAUAACUUGGCUGUUUCAUGGUUGCUGAGCGAUGGAGUUCAUCUUAGAUCUAAUGACAAAAUUUAAGUGAUCCAAAAGAAUUUAGCAGUACAUACUGACACUGGAUAGGUCCGGUCAGAGACUGACUGUUGGUGAGUCCCCUGGUUUAUGUAGUUUUUGGCAUUUGUCGUUGUUUCCUUUUCGCUGUAUGUCCGCCGGAUAAAGCUGUAAAAGUAGUUGCUCUAUGGUAUUUGGAUCAAUAUUCAUCUCAUCUGACGGCAUAUAUCAAUGUGGGGAUUGGUGGUGGAAAAGUGAUGCCUAAAGAUAUCUCCCAACAUCUUAAGUGAUGGAGUAAUCAUUUCGUGAAUUUACAGAGAUGAAUAUUAGAGGUUCAAGCACUGUCUCAGUAUUUGUGUAGAAGCAUGUGUUCCAAGGGCUCUGUACUCCUUUCAGCUCUUAUAGCUUUUAUCCUGUUAUGUUCGCGUUUGGAAUUAUCAAGCAGGUUAUGUCUGCAUGAAUGUAGUCAGUUUGGCUGAUGUGAAGAGUAUGAUUUUAUUUUAUCUAUUUCUGGAUUUCUAUGA
Molecule: RNA transcript, 2367 nt
Organism: Nicotiana tabacum (common tobacco)
Lineage: Eukaryota; Viridiplantae; Streptophyta; Magnoliopsida; Solanales; Solanaceae
Gene name: DEAD-box ATP-dependent RNA helicase 8
Source: RefSeq, a predicted model, not a curated record